This 67-nucleotide transfer RNA is filed under the name Marmota monax (woodchuck). RNAcentral describes it as "tRNA.Ala". Lineage: Eukaryota; Metazoa; Chordata; Mammalia; Rodentia; Sciuridae. The record is from RNAcentral.
GGAUAUAGCUCUGUGGUAGAGCUCUUGCCUAGCAUGAAUGAGGUCCUGGGUUCCAUCCUCAGUACUG